UCUCGGAGUAGCCACAUGGCCCAGAUCACACAGACACACAUUGGGCUUUCUUUCCGAUGAUUUUCGUUUGUGAAGGGCGAAGAACCGCGGAGUAAAUCAAACAGUUUUCGCAAAGCACGAUCGAGCCUCUCUCUUCUAGCCAGGCGACGCCUUACUCAGUGUUUGUACGAUUUUAUGGCGGUUUUCUUUUACUCCGGCUCUUUGCUUUGCCAGAUAGCAGGUGGGAGAAAGCGCGAGGAAGGAUGGCUGAAAAGAAUUGUUGCAUAACCGGUAUUCGGCGCCAGACUUGCUUCAUAAGAAUCCUUGGAAAUUAAGUAAAUAUGCUUUACUUGUCAACUUUUUGUGUGUGAAUAAAUUAAUACUGAUUUCAAUUAGGUUGGUUGUAGUCCUGUGUUGGCUACAUAUUAUCUACCAUUCCUAACUAACGGGGCAAGAAGUCCGAACUCAAAUGAGAGGGAAUGAGAAAAAAACAAAAAGGUACAUAUAUAU
Molecule: long non-coding RNA, 489 nt
Organism: Tripterygium wilfordii
Lineage: Eukaryota; Viridiplantae; Streptophyta; Magnoliopsida; Celastrales; Celastraceae
Exons: 3
Source: RefSeq, a predicted model, not a curated record